Archocentrus centrarchus (flier cichlid) is the source of this 284-nucleotide long non-coding RNA. RefSeq lists it as uncharacterized. The transcript has 3 exons. NCBI's taxonomy places the organism in Eukaryota, Metazoa, Chordata, Actinopteri, Cichliformes, Cichlidae. The record is from RefSeq and is a predicted model, not a curated record.
UGCUCUCGGUGAUGCACACGCUUCCGGGUUUUCAUUCACGUUUCUCCUGGCUGUAGCGGAGUAUACUGGUGGUAACCUUGUAGCCCUCCCUCCAUAAGCUUUGGGUAGUAGCUGGGGAAGCCCCAUACUGGCCAAUUUGGUCCCUGCAAGCAUUGAUUGACUGGGUGUUUGGGCCUGGGUCGGCGGCGUGUUGAUUUCCACGGCGCCGCCAUCGCUUCCCCGGGAUAAAGCUACAGUGUGCUGCUGUUUUGCCUUUCCCCUUUUUUUAUACAAGUGUUUUAUGC